GAGCUUGAGGCACGAGAAAGGACACCAUGUGAGGGGCGGGGCGUGAGGAGGAGGGCGGGGCAGGAGAGGGGCAGGAAGGUUGAGGUGGUAGAAGAGGGGCGGGGCUUGCGAAGAGGGGCGUGAGGGAGAAGGCGGGCCGUGAGAGGGGCGGAGCAGGUCGCAAGACCACGCCCCUGGACUCCUACGUCCUCUCCCCCGCCCAAGGCAACCAGGCAGACUGGGCAAGCCACUUUUCUCUUUUCCCUACUGCCCAGCAUCCCCCGCUCCUAGCCUCACUCUGCUGUCCUUCGCACAGAGGCUCCGCAAAGAUCCUCCCAGCUACCAAAAGCCUGCCUGUGAUUAGCCUGUGCUUUUAACUUGCACCUUCGUCCAGACUGAGACUGUUUUUCCAGGUUCAGACGAAUUCUCAGGGUAGCCGACCUUUCCGCUUCCGGAGAGCUGUUUCCUCCUCCGUGCUUCGGUUACUCUAAUGUUAACUCUUAACGUGGAAUUUAUCAGCUUGAGAUCGUACACUGAGACUCCUGCGUGCUGUUCAAGUUACCAUUCCAAUGAAAGAGUUCCAAAGAGGCGGAAGAUGAGAGAUACAACCUGUAGGGUUUGUUGUGGUUUUGAAGACAGAGACUCUACACGUUGCCCAUGCUGACCACAAACUUGAGAUCCUUCUGCCUUAGACAAUGCUCUUAAAGAAAUGUGUAGAUCAGCUCUUGCUUUGUGAUGUUGAAUUCUGUUAACUAUCAAGGUUAAGUAGACUACAACAACAAAUAUACAGUGUAUCAAUUGACUAUAAAUAUCAAACACUUUUAUGUAAUACAGUUACACAUUGUAACAGUUUAUGAAGCACCAUUAAAGACUUUUAUCAUACCA
Rattus norvegicus (Norway rat) is the source of this 864-nucleotide long non-coding RNA. RefSeq lists it as uncharacterized. NCBI's taxonomy places the organism in Eukaryota, Metazoa, Chordata, Mammalia, Rodentia, Muridae. The record is from RefSeq and is a predicted model, not a curated record.